RNAcentral lists this ribosomal RNA (507 nucleotides) under Triticum aestivum (bread wheat). Its description in RNAcentral is "partial small subunit ribosomal RNA". The record is from RNAcentral. Lineage: Eukaryota; Viridiplantae; Streptophyta; Magnoliopsida; Poales; Poaceae.
AUGGCGACGCUGACUGUUGAGGACGUGCUGCGGGUGAAUGGCAGUCGCCGGUUCGCCGUCGCGCUGGCCGCCGCCUCCCCCUUCGGCUCUCUCGCCGACGCGCUACUCGCCGCCCGCCGCAUCUGGCGCAACGAGGUGGACGUGCCUGGAUGGCUGGAGGCCUUCGCCGCCAACCCGCCCCUCGGCACCACCUCCCUCUCCAUCUCCAAAUGGAGCAAGGAGGAGCAAUCAGUUGCGCGUUCCACGGCGACUCAUUCGACUGCACAGGACUUGUCCGAAUGGAAUGCCAAAUACAGGGACAAGUUUGGGUUUGUCUUUCUGAUAUGCGCAACUGGGAGGACCGCCCCCGAGGUCUUAGCUGAGCUCAAGAGGCGUUAUGCAAAUAGGCUGAUUGUUGAACUUGAGAUUGCGGCAGCGGAAGAAUUGAAGAUAACUGAACUGCGUCUUGCAAAACUUUUCUCGCCAGAGACUGCAGCUCCCCGACUUCAGUUAUUAGCCAACCAGUAA